CAUCAUUUAAAGAAAGCGUAAUAGCUCACUGGUCGAGUCGGCCUGCGCGGAAGAUGUAACGGGGCUAAACCAUGCACCGAAGCUGCGGCAGCGACGCUGAUGCGUUGUUGGGUAGGGGAGCGUUCUGUAAGCCUGCGAAGGUGUGCUGUGAGGCAUGCUGGAGGUAUCAGAAGUGCGAAUGCUGACAUAAGUAACGAUAAA
RNAcentral lists this ribosomal RNA (201 nucleotides) under Escherichia coli. Its description in RNAcentral is "partial 23S ribosomal RNA". It matches the Rfam family "Bacterial large subunit ribosomal RNA", at positions 1117 to 1316 of the family's 2925-position model. The record is from RNAcentral. Lineage: Bacteria; Pseudomonadati; Pseudomonadota; Gammaproteobacteria; Enterobacterales; Enterobacteriaceae.